CCUACGGGAGGCAGCAGUGGGGAAUUUUGGGCAAUGGCCGAAAGGCUGACCCAGCGACGCCGCGUGUGGGAGGAAGCCCUUCGGGGUGUAAACCACUGUCAGGGGGGACGAAAGAGCGGGACGGGAAUACCGUCUCGCAGUGACGGUACCCCCAAAGGAAGCACCGGCUAACUCUGUGCCAGCAGCCGCGGUAAUACAGAGGGUGCAAGCGUUGUUCGGAAUCACUGGGCGUAAAGCGCGCGCAGGCGGAGAAGCAAGUCGGAAGUGAAAUCCAGCCGCUCAACGGCUGGGCUGCUUCGGAUACUACUUCUCUAGGGACCGGUAGAGGCUGGUAGAAUUGCAGGUGUAGCGGUGGAAUGCGUAGAGAUCUGCAAGAAUACCCGUGGCGAAGGCGGCCAGCUGGGCCGGAUCCGACGCUGAGGCGCGAAAGCGUGGGGAGC
Molecule: ribosomal RNA, 440 nt
Filed under: uncultured bacterium
Lineage: Bacteria
Description: bacterial SSU rRNA
Rfam family: Bacterial small subunit ribosomal RNA
Source: RNAcentral